RNAcentral lists this ribosomal RNA (935 nucleotides) under Bacillus pumilus. Its description in RNAcentral is "bacterial SSU rRNA". It matches the Rfam family "Bacterial small subunit ribosomal RNA", at positions 28 to 955 of the family's 1533-position model. The record is from RNAcentral. Lineage: Bacteria; Bacillati; Bacillota; Bacilli; Caryophanales; Bacillaceae.
GUCGAAUGGCGGGUGCAUACAUGCGUCGAGCGGACAGAAGGGAGCUUGCUCCCGGAUGUUAGCGGCGGACGGGUGAGUAACACGUGGGUAACCUGCCUGUAAGACUGGGAUAACUCCGGGAAACCGGAGCUAAUACCGGAUAGUUCCUUGAACCGCAUGGUUCAAGGAUGAAAGACGGUUUCGGCUGUCACUUACAGAUGGACCCGCGGCGCAUUAGCUAGUUGGUGAGGUAACGGCUCACCAAGGCGACGAGCGUAGCCGACCUGAGAGGGUGAUCGGCCACACUGGGACUGAGACACGGCCCAGACUCCUACGGGAGGCAGCAGUAGGGAAUCUUCCGCAAUGGACGAAAGUCUGACGGAGCAACGCCGCGUGAGUGAUGAAGGUUUUCGGAUCGUAAAGCUCUGUUGUUAGGGAAGAACAAGUGCAAGAGUAACUGCUUGCACCUUGACGGUACCUAACCAGAAAGCCACGGCUAACUACGUGCCAGCAGCCGCGGUAAUACGUAGGUGGCAAGCGUUGUCCGGAAUUAUUGGGCGUAAAGGGCUCGCAGGCGGUUUCUUAAGUCUGAUGUGAAAGCCCCCGGCUCAACCGGGGAGGGUCAUUGGAAACUGGGAAACUUGAGUGCAGAAGAGGAGAGUGGAAUUCCACGUGUAGCGGUGAAAUGCGUAGAGAUGUGGAGGAACACCAGUGGCGAAGGCGACUCUCUGGUCUGUAACUGACGCUGAGGAGCGAAAGCGUGGGGAGCGAACAGGAUUAGAUACCCUGGUAGUCCACGCCGUAAACGAUGAGUGCUAAGUGUUAGGGGGUUUCCGCCCCUUAGUGCUGCAGCUAACGCAUUAAGCACUCCGCCUGGGGAGUACGGUCGCAAGACUGAAACUCAAAGGAAUUGACGGGGGCCCGCACAAGCGGUGGAGCAUGUGGUUUAAUUCGAA